CAGUCGCCGCGGUAAUACGGAGGGAGCUAGCGUUGUUCGGAAUUACUGGGCGUAAAGCGCGCGUAGGCGGUUACUCAAGUCAGAGGUGAAAGCCCGGGGCUCAACCCCGGAACUGCCUUUGAAACUAGGUGACUAGAAUCUUGGAGAGGUCAGUGGAAUUCCGAGUGUAGAGGUGAAAUUCGUAGAUAUUCGGAAGAACACCAGUGGCGAAGGCGACUGACUGGACAAGUAUUGACGCUGAGGUGCGAAAGCGUGGGGAGCAAACAGGAUUAGAUACCCGGGUAGUCCCUGUCUAUUAUAC
RNAcentral lists this ribosomal RNA (301 nucleotides) under uncultured bacterium. RNAcentral's name for it is "partial 16S ribosomal RNA". It matches the Rfam family "Bacterial small subunit ribosomal RNA", at positions 509 to 807 of the family's 1533-position model. The record is from RNAcentral.